AGACUAUGCGUUCUGCCCUAGUUUCACAAUUAUUUUAUGGCGUGUCUAACUUCAUUCAUUCUACACCAUAGAACAGGCAAGUGUUGGUAUGUCUAUUGACAUACCAGUUGAAACGCCACAACAGGAGCCAAAUAGGAGAAACUUGAUGUCAGCUAUUGCAGGUGAGGCAUAUUUUUCCUCAACAUCUGCAAAGGGACUAUAUAUGCAGACAAAUGUGCUUUCUAAUCUGCUUUGUUGGAUUUUACUUUUUACUAAUAAGCAAUUAAGCAUAUCGUUUAUUGAACUAAUGGCUGUGCAGAACAUUCUCAUUUGAAUCAUCAAUCUCUGCCAAAGACUACCGGCAGAAGAUUGUCACCUGAAGCCAGAUCUUCUGUGUUGCACCAGAGUAUACAUCAGCGUGCCAGUGUUUGGGACAGACUGGGGAAACGAUAUGAAGAUAGUGAUACCUUGAUGGACGUAAAAAAAAAUCAAGAUAAUGUUGCUGUAAGCAAGAUAUAUAAAAUGGAUCAUUGUAAUAA
RNAcentral lists this long non-coding RNA (518 nucleotides) under Spirodela polyrhiza (greater duckweed). RNAcentral describes it as "long non-coding RNA (SPOL_LNC000432)". Lineage: Eukaryota; Viridiplantae; Streptophyta; Magnoliopsida; Alismatales; Araceae. The record is from RNAcentral.